This 468-nucleotide ribosomal RNA is filed under the name uncultured bacterium. RNAcentral describes it as "bacterial SSU rRNA". It matches the Rfam family "Bacterial small subunit ribosomal RNA", at positions 8 to 507 of the family's 1533-position model. The record is from RNAcentral.
AGAGUUUGAUCAUGGCUCAGGACAACGCUGGCGGCAUGCCUAACACAUGCAAGUCUAGGGGUAGCAAUACCACUGGCGCACGGGUGAGUAACACGUAGGUUAUCUGCCCCCAUCACAGACAUAACCCCGGGAAACCGGGGCUAAUAUCUGAUGAGGUCGCGAGAUCAAAGCUUCGGCGGAUGGGGAUGAGCCUGCGGCUGAUUAGCUAGUUGGUGAGGUAAUGGCUCACCAAGGCGACGAUCAGUAGCUGGUCUGAGAGGACGAACAGCCACACUGGAACUGAGACACGGUCCAGACUCCUACGGGAGGCAGCAGUGAGGAAUAUUGGUCAAUGGGAGCAAUCCUGAACCAGCAAUGCCGCGUGUGGGAUGACAGGGCUUCGCCUUGUAAACCACUGUCGGACGGGACGAAAGGAGGCCUCGGGCCUCUGGGACGGUACCGUCAAAGGAAGGGUCGGCUAACUACGUG